UGUUCAAUUCAAUCAGUUUAAAUCUCACUGCCGAGUACCCGGAAAAGCGAAUUUCACAGAUUUUUCUUUCAAGAAAAAAACUCAGCUCAGCACUAUAAUAUAUGUGCGCACACGGAAAGGUGGGGAAGAUACUCGGAAUAUAUAUUAGCUCCUCCUGGGAGUUAUUUCUUUUGGCUACCUGGUUCAUUAUGUCUGGUUGUCUGAGAAGCUGGUGAAUGUUCUUGUUUAGCUAACAACAUAUGUUUAUGUGGCACUACAAGCUCAGAUUCCGAUUCCAAUACAAGCCCCCAAACGCAUGUUUAUCUGCUGAAAGUUUGCCGUGACUGAAAUACCAAUAAAAACGAAACCCAAAAAGCGAA
Molecule: long non-coding RNA, 359 nt
Organism: Drosophila ficusphila
Lineage: Eukaryota; Metazoa; Arthropoda; Insecta; Diptera; Drosophilidae
Exons: 2
Source: RefSeq, a predicted model, not a curated record